CCUACGGGAGGCAGCAGUCGAGAAUCAUGCACAAUGGGGGAAACCCUGAUGCAGCGACGCCGCGUGGGUGAAUGAAGCCCUCGGGAUGUUAAACCCUUGUCGCGGGGGAGCAAAUGAAGAGGAUAGUACCACAAGAGGAAGACACUACUAACUCUGUGCCAGCAGCCGCGCUAAUACGGAGGGCGCAAGCGUUGUUCGGAAUGACUGGGCGUAAAGCGGACGAAGGCGGUUUCGUAAGUCGUGUGUGAAAGGCCCGGGCUCAACCCGGGGACGGCAUCUGAUACUGGGAAGCUAGAGUGAUGGAGGGGGAAGCGGAAUUCCAGGUGUAGCAGUGAAAUGCGUAGAUAUCGAGAGGAACACUCGUGGCGAAGGCGGGUUCCUGGACAUUAACUGACGCUGAGGCACGAAGGCCAGGGGAGCGAACGGGAUUAGAUACCCCAGUAGUC
Molecule: ribosomal RNA, 446 nt
Filed under: uncultured bacterium
Lineage: Bacteria
Description: partial 16S ribosomal RNA
Rfam family: Bacterial small subunit ribosomal RNA
Source: RNAcentral